This is a long non-coding RNA of Danaus plexippus (monarch butterfly), 865 nucleotides long. RefSeq lists it as uncharacterized. Lineage: Eukaryota; Metazoa; Arthropoda; Insecta; Lepidoptera; Nymphalidae. The transcript is spliced from 3 exons. The record is from RefSeq and is a predicted model, not a curated record.
CCAGUUAUUUUAUUGCAGAUUAUGCGAAUGUAAAUUUUAUAUAGAGCCAGCUACGGUCAGUGUCAAGUUCUUGGAUAGUGGUAUUGAUACGGAUUUUGCGGAUUCCCAUGUAUAUAAAUAUUGAGUCAUUCACUUUGUGAUUGGAGUGAAUGGAAAAUUUUCAAAGGAUUCGGAAUCUGGUAUUAAUUAUAUAUAUUUUUAGUGCAAUACUUAAUUGUUAUGAUUAUUAUAAACAGUAUAAUAUCGGUUAAUGGAAUAAAUAUAAACAAGAAAAUGUAGAUUUUGGAAUAUCAAAAGUACCUCAAGCUCAAUGACCUCGAAGGAUGCAUACACAAGAAAUACGCAGUAUAAGGUAUUAUGACGUAAAUGGCGGGGAAAGGAAACACGUCACAAAUGCCUUUAUAAUUUAUUGUCGUUUAAAACUGCUUGUUUUUUAUAUUUGUAUAAUAUAUAGAAUAAAAGUGUAUAUUUAGUAAACAAAAAAAAAUCAAAAAUUCAACGACCUAGAUAUUUAAAAAUAAUUACUUUUAAGAACAUUUAUAAAAUAAGAAGCAAUCUGAAUGUUAUAACAAUAUUAGAUUGAUUCAUUAAUUAAUAUUUUAAUAAUAUUGUAAAAUAAAAAAAGAAUCCAACUAAUUGCAUGGCGAUUUUUGAGUUAUAAACUUGUUUGCCGUGUUACAGAUAAAAAAAAUUGGAACGGCUGUAAGAACAAUCUGGAAAAAAAAAUAUUAAAAACUUCCCGAGCUCACGGACGUUCGCAGUUGUUAGUCACAGACAACAUUAUUUACUAUUAAUCUCUAAAACGGCUGAAUCGGUUUUGACGAAACUUUCAAUGACGGAUAGCUGAUGAAGUAAAUAGUUAUUU